Molecule: ribosomal RNA, 499 nt
Filed under: uncultured bacterium
Lineage: Bacteria
Description: partial 16S ribosomal RNA
Rfam family: Bacterial small subunit ribosomal RNA
Source: RNAcentral
GACGAACGCUGGCGGCGUGCCUAAUACAUGCAAGUCGAGCGAAGUUUUUCUGGUGCUUGCACUAGAAAAACUUAGCGGCGAACGGGUGAGUAACACGUAAAGAACCUGCCUCAUAGACUGGGACAACUAUUGGAAACGAUAGCUAAUACCGGAUAACAGUAUUUCUCGCAUGAGAGAUAUUUAAAAGUUGGUUAUGCUAACACUAUGAGAUGGCUUUGCGGUGCAUUAGCUAGUUGGUGGGGUAAAGGCCCACCAAGGCGACGAUGCAUAGCCGACCUGAGAGGGUGAUCGGCAACACUGGGACUGAGACACGGCCCAGACUCCUACGGGAGGCAGCAGUAGGGAAUCUUCCGCAAUGGGCGAAAGCCUGACGGAGCAACGCCGCGUGAGUGAAGAAGGAUUUCGGUUCGUAAAGCUCUGUUGUUAGGGAAGAAUGGAUAUGUAGUAACUAUACAUGUAAGAGACGGUACCUAACCAGAAAGCCACGGCUAACUACGUG